UAACCGUAUAGGGGAGCCGCAGGGAAACCGAGUCUUAACCGGGCGUUAAGUUGCAGGGUAUAGACCCGAAACCCGGUGAUCUAGCCAUGGGCAGGUUGAAGGUUGGGUAACACUAACUGGAGGACCGAACCGACUAAUGUUGAAAAAUUAGCGGAUGACCUGUGGCUGGGGGUGAAAGGCCAAUCAAACCGGGAGAUAGCUGGUUCUCCCCGAAAGCUAUUUAGGUAGCGCCUCGUGAAUUCAUCUCCGGGGGUAGAGCACUGUUUCGGCUAGGGGGCCAUCCCGGCUUACCAACCCGAUGCAAACUGCGAAUACCGGAGAAUGUUAUCACGGGAGACACACGGCGGGUGCUAACGUCCGUCGUGAAGAGGGAAACAACCCAGACCGCCAGCUAAGGUCCCAAAGUCAUGGUUAAGUGGGAAACGAUGUGGGAAGGCCCAGACAGCCAGGAUGUUGGCUUAGAAGCAGCCAUCAUUUAAAGAAAGCGUAAUAGCUCACUGGUCGAGUCGGCCUGCGCGGAAGAUGUAACGGGGCUAAACCAUG
This 543-nucleotide ribosomal RNA is filed under the name Salmonella enterica subsp. enterica serovar Minnesota. RNAcentral's name for it is "partial 23S ribosomal RNA". It matches the Rfam family "Bacterial large subunit ribosomal RNA", at positions 647 to 1191 of the family's 2925-position model. Lineage: Bacteria; Pseudomonadati; Pseudomonadota; Gammaproteobacteria; Enterobacterales; Enterobacteriaceae. The record is from RNAcentral.